GACGAACGCUGGCGGCGUGCUUAACACAUGCAAGUCGAACGGAAAGGCCCUGCUUUUGCGGGGUGCUCGAGUGGCGAACGGGUGAGUAACACGUGAGUAACCUGCCCUUGACUUUGGGAUAACUUCAGGAAACUGGGGCUAAUACCGGAUAGGAGCUCCUGCUGCAUGGUGGGGGUUGGAAAGUUUCGGCGGUUGGGGAUGGACUCGCGGCUUAUCAGCUUGUUGGUGAGGUAGUGGCUUACCAAGGCUUUGACGGGUAGCCGGCCUGAGAGGGUGACCGGCCACAUUGGGACUGAGAUACGGCCCAGACGCCUACGGGAGGCAGCAGUGGGGAAUAUUACACAAUGGGCGGAAGCCUGAUGCAGCAACGCCGCGUGCGGGAUGACGGCCUUCGAGUUGUAAACCGCUUUCGCCUGUGACGAAGCGUGAGUGACGGUAAUGGGUAAAGAAGCACCGGCUAACUACGUG
This 468-nucleotide ribosomal RNA is filed under the name uncultured bacterium. RNAcentral's name for it is "partial 16S ribosomal RNA". It matches the Rfam family "Bacterial small subunit ribosomal RNA", at positions 28 to 507 of the family's 1533-position model. The record is from RNAcentral.